AUGAACUAUCACAGAGAUUUGCUCUUCUCUCUGAUUGAAUGUAAUUUAAAGAGCUGCUGCUUCUGCUUGCUUCACUUGCUUCUGAAACAUUCUUUAGAUGGUGUCUCACGAUGUUGGCCAAGCUGGACUCAAACUACUGACCUCAGGCAAUCCUCAUGCCUCAGCCUCCCAAAUUGCUGGGAUUACAAGUGUGAGCAACCACACGCAGCCGGUAUUUUAAAAGGAGGUUAAUUCACAUGGUAUUACUAUCAUUUACUUAUCAUACACAUUUUUUCAUAUGAUUGUUGAUUGAUUUCCAUGAUUCUUAACCUGUGCUUUCAAUCCAACCAGCAAAAUAGCAAAGAACAAAACUGAACCAACUCAAGUUACAUGUACUAGAAUUCCUGGUUAAAUGUAUUCAUUCUUUUAAAACAACUCUUUAAUAACUGAAAGAAAUAAAGUGGACAAUAAAUAAGUUAAAAUGUUUUCUCAGGCAUGUGAAUUACAUCCCGCUCAAUGGAAGUUGGAAGCGUAACAUGGGGUUGUUGGUGGGGGAGACAAAUAAGUUAAAAGGUUAUAAAGAAAAAUAAACUCUGGACAGUCAGGAUCCUUGAGUUAAAAAAAUAUGACCAGCCUGUAAUCCCAGCUACUCAGGAAGCUGAGGCAGGAGAAUUGCCUGAACCCAGGAGGCUGAGGUCACAGUGAACCAAGAUCGUGCCAUUACACUCCAGCCUGGGUAACAAGAGCGAAACUCUGUCUCAAAAAAAAAAAAUAUGACCAGUUGUACUUCUUGUCAUCUCCCCAGGAAUACAUAUAUUUACCCAGCGUGAGUGUGCAGUUUUCUUAUAUAACAUCCUCAAAUGUGGAGAAGUGACCAAGUUUUAUUUUGGCAAGUAUACUACUAAUCUAGGUUAAGUAGGAUGUUUUUUUCUUACUUAAUGCAAGAUUGAUCUAUGAACAAAUUCCAGUAUUUUGUGAAGAUAUAUUGAAGAGCAUAUCUGUUUAGAAAAUCUUUCCAUUGUAAGUCAUGAAGGCCUUCAAAGUGCAGUUAUGAAGAGACUUCUUUGCUAAGUGUUUAUUAUUCAUAUAUGAUGUUUCCUACCAUGUAUGAGAACACGUAUGAGUAAAGACUAUAUUCACUGGUUAAUAAAAUGAGAAAAUACACUUUUUAUAAAUUUGGGUUAAACCUAUUUAAAUAUGUUUGCUUUAAAUAUGAUUACUAUAUAAAUAUGAUUACUGAAUGAUUGUGACCUCCAUGCAGGAAUCUUCUAUUUUGUUUAUAAAUGAUGCUUUGUCCUUUCUACUUAAAGGGUAAGUUUGUUGUGUUUUUUUUAACAUCCUGGGGAGCCAUAGAAGAGAUAAUGACAGACUAAAGUAUCUAUGAAAUACAGAAUUUUCUUAUUUUCCAUUCUUAGAAAGUGUCUAGUUUCUAUUCUUUUGACUUUAAUAAAAGUAGUUAAAUUGUGUAUACCACUUACUUAAAUUUGCAUGAUUUUGAUCUAAAGAUAACUGCUCUUGUUUUAGUUUAUAUCCUAUCAAACUUGUCUUUUAAAAAACAUUGGUAGACAUGAUAUUUUACUUUUAGAUUCACCUAUUAUCUUAAAAAUGUAACAAAAAAUCCCUUUCUUAGAAUUUGUUCUUAAACCAAUAGCACCACAACCUAUCAACUCUUAUGUUUUUAGUUUAAUUACAUUUCUAAUUUGAUAAUUUAUUUAAUAAUUGAAAAGUAAUACAUGUCAGACUAUACUAUCAUGAUAAGUAGACAUCAGAGCACCUUUCAUUUACUUUCAGUUUUAGUUCCCCAUCAAUCUUAUUUUCUCCUGACUUUUUCUUAUGUAUUUGAUUGUGUCGUUUACUUGAAUAUAUAAAGCCAAAUGCUCAGAAAAAUUUGUCUGUACCUUCAUCCUUUAGACAAUGUGGCUGACAGAAACUACUUUCUUACUCAUAUGCUUAGACACCUAAAAUCUUCCACCUUUCUGUGAACCAUUUUAGGUAAACUUCAUGGGCUGGAUUAUUUUGCCUGAUUAAUUUAUUGCCAAUUGCUGCUACAGAGAGUAAACAGGAGUAGAAGAUAGAACAAGUAAAUUAUGAUCAGAGAUCGAGUUUGCUUUCUUUAUAGUUUAGAAAGUUAAAGGAAAGGACUAUCUGAACAGAAAUGUAAGGCUACUAGCUAUCUAUGGAUAAAGUAAGAACCUAAGAUUUCUAGGAUGCAAAGAAAACAACAACAAAAAAACUCAGCCUAAUUUUCUACAGAUUGAAUGAAGCUAGUAGAUAACAGCUUCAAAAUAAAGUCUAUAUUGGCUCUUGUGUAGACUGUAGAGGGAAAAGCCCUGGAUCUGACUUACAAUGAUUUCAUGUAAAGUUGUAGAUCUAGCUCUGAUACUACUUCUAUCUUGGAUAAUACUUUACCCUUUUCUGUGCCUUAUUUCCCCUUUCUGUAGACUUCUUCAGAGUAAGUUGGUUGCAUCACCCCAAAAGGUAAUAGAAAAGAAUAGAGAGAAUGCACUGAAAUAGUGAAACACUGCUGUUACCCCAAAACUCACUACCAUUACCCCCAAAAGAAUUCUAAAUGCAGUAUUAUGGUGUUGUGGACCUUUGCAUUUUUUUUUUCUUCGAAGACAUGGAGAACAUCUAGUUUAACCCCACCUCCCAUUUUACAGAAGAGGAGAGUGAACAACAGAGAGAUUUGGAUCCACCAAAUUUAUUGAGUACCUAUUUGUGUUAGGAAAUGAUCUGGGUACUUGGUUAUAUUAUGGUUUAUUUAAUCAUCAAAAGAUUCCUGUGUGCAAGGGGGGGUUAUUGUUAUUUUGAUUUUUAGAGAACAGGAAAUAGGCUGACAAUUUAAGUAGAUGGCAUGGAUUCUUACACCUAAGAAACAGCUGGGAUUUGAUCACAACUAUGUGUCUCAUUUCAAAUCUAGUGCUCAUCCCACUAUAUCACACGUUGUUGUCUUAAUCCUAGUCCAUAAUGCUAUUUGAAGUGUAUCAUGUGCUAAUUUUAUUACUGAGAUAGACGAUGAAAACUAUUGACUGAAGGUAGUUCCUCCAGAGAUAAACAGAUAUUUAGCAGAAUGUUUCCAGGUGAGGACUGGUUCUUUUUUCCUCAUUGUGAACUGUCAGAAAAAUAAGACUUUCCUUCUGAAAAUCACAGUAGUUUUUCCACAAGUUAACAAAUAGAAUCAAUUUGUUAGAAAGUUAACCAAGUUGUAUUCAUACUCAAGCUUCUCAUUUUCCACACUGGAAAAUUCUUCCAAGCAGGAAGAUUUAUUGGUAAAAUAAUUCAACUGAAAUUUCCAAAAUGAAAUCUGUCUGUUGCUAUUGCCUAUAUUCUUUUAAAUAUACUGCUUC
This 3326-nucleotide long non-coding RNA is filed under the name Callithrix jacchus (white-tufted-ear marmoset). RNAcentral describes it as "lncRNA (ENSCJAG00000070497.1)". The record is from RNAcentral. Lineage: Eukaryota; Metazoa; Chordata; Mammalia; Primates; Cebidae.